UGGGGAAUAUUGCACAAUGGGCGCAAGCCUGAUGCAGCCAUGCCGCGUGUGUGAAGAAGGCCUUCGGGUUGUAAAGCACUUUCAGCGGGGAGGAAGGCGGUGAGGUUAAUAACCUCACCGAUUGACGUUACCCGCAGAAGAAGCACCGGCUAACUCCGUGCCAGCAGCCGCGGUAAUACGGAGGGUGCAAGCGUUAAUCGGAAUUACUGGGCGUAAAGCGCACACAGGCGGUCUGUCAAGUCGGAUGUGAAAUCCCCGGGCUCAACCUGGGAACUGCAUUCGAAACUGGCAGGCUAGAGUCUUGUAGAGGGGGGUAGAAUUCCAGGUGUAGCGGUGAAAUGCGUAGAGAUCUGGAGGAAUACCGGUGGCGAAGGCGGCCCCCUGGACAAAGACUGACGCUCAGGUGCGAAAGCGUGGGGAGCAAACAGG
RNAcentral lists this ribosomal RNA (429 nucleotides) under Chloroflexota bacterium. Its description in RNAcentral is "Chloroflexi bacterium partial 16S ribosomal RNA". It matches the Rfam family "Bacterial small subunit ribosomal RNA", at positions 355 to 776 of the family's 1533-position model. The record is from RNAcentral. Lineage: Bacteria; Bacillati; Chloroflexota.